CUACGGGGUGCAGCAGUAAGGAAUAUUGGGCAAUGGACGCAAGUCUGACCCAGCCAUGCCGCGUGCAGGAUGACAGCCCUACGGGUUGUAAACUGCUUUUGUACGGGAAAAAUUCCCUGGUCGUGUACCGGGGUUGAUGGUACCGUAAGAAUAAGCAUCGGCUAACUCCGUGCCAGCAGCCGCGGUAAUACGGAGGAUGCAAGCGUUAUCCGGAUUUAUUGGGUUUAAAGGGUGCGCAGGCGGAAUGAUAAGUCAGUGGUGAAAUCCUACAGCUUAACUGUAGAACUGCCAUUGAUACUGUUGUUCUUGAGUACAUUUGUAGUGGGCGGAAUGUGUCAUGUAGCGGUGAAAUGCUUAGAGAUGACACAGAACACCGAUCGCGAAGGCAGCUCACUAAACUGUAACUGACGCUCAGGCACGAAAGCGUGGGGAUCAAACAGGAUUAGAUACCCUUGUAGUC
This 460-nucleotide ribosomal RNA is filed under the name uncultured bacterium. Its description in RNAcentral is "partial 16S ribosomal RNA". It matches the Rfam family "Bacterial small subunit ribosomal RNA", at positions 339 to 795 of the family's 1533-position model. The record is from RNAcentral.